RNAcentral lists this ribosomal RNA (608 nucleotides) under Pleurotus sp. 'Florida'. RNAcentral describes it as "eukaryotic LSU rRNA". The stretch from base 202 to 355 matches the Rfam family "5.8S ribosomal RNA". The record is from RNAcentral. Lineage: Eukaryota; Fungi; Basidiomycota; Agaricomycetes; Agaricales; Pleurotaceae.
UAGGGGCAUGUGCACGCUUCACUAGAUCUUUCAACCACCUGUGAACUUUUGAUAGAUCUGUGAAGUCGUCUCUCAAGUCGUCAGACUUGGUUGCUGGGAUUUAAACGUCUCGGUGUGACUACGCAGUCUAUUUACUUACACACCCCAAAUGUAUGUCUACGAAUGUCAUUUAAUGGGCCUUGUGCCUUUAAACCAUAAUACAACUUUCAACAACGGAUCUCUUGGCUCUCGCAUCGAUGAAGAACGCAGCGAAAUGCGAUAAGUAAUGUGAAUUGCAGAAUUCAGUGAAUCAUCGAAUCUUUGAACGCACCUUGCGCCCCUUGGUAUUCCGAGGGGCAUGCCUGUUUGAGUGUCAUUAAAUUCUCAAACUCACUUUGGUUUCUUUCCAAUUGUGAUGUUUGGAUUGUUGGGGGCUGCUGGCCUUGACAGGUCGGCUCCUCUUAAAUGCAUUAGCAGGACUUCUCAUUGCCUCUGCGCAUGAUGUGAUAAUUAUCACUCAUCAAUAGCACGCAUGAAUAGAGUCCAGCUCUCUAAUCGUCCGCAAGGACAAUUUGACAAUUUGACCUCAAAUCAGGUAGGACUACCCGCUGAACUUAAGCAUAUCAAUA